GGGCGGUGUGUGCGCAUUCUAGAGCUUGUUUCAUUUUUUGUUUCUUUAAUUAAUUACUGUCAAAUCCUUUUUCUUUAAGUUUUUUAUGUUUAGUUCCUCAGUUGAAAAGUAAAGUAGCUCAUUAGUCCCCAGUCUAUUGGCUGCACCUUGAUCUGGCGUUUAGGUUUAAUAUCCUUUUUGUUUACGUUCUUUAAGGUAAGCUGGCGACGAUGGUAUACAGGCUGUUUUCUAAGGCUGGUGAGGUUUCUCGUGGGUUAUCGAUUAGACAACAAGCUCCUCUAAAAAGGUUUAGAAAACCGCCAAGUUCUUUAAGUUUCAAUUAUUUAAUUAUACUACUCUGGUGUUUUUGAUUUUUGUGGAGGGGUAUAGUGGGGUA
RNAcentral lists this ribosomal RNA (376 nucleotides) under Pachythyone rubra. RNAcentral's name for it is "partial 12S ribosomal RNA". The record is from RNAcentral. Lineage: Eukaryota; Metazoa; Echinodermata; Holothuroidea; Dendrochirotida; Sclerodactylidae.